Molecule: non-coding RNA, 442 nt
Organism: Camellia sinensis
Lineage: Eukaryota; Viridiplantae; Streptophyta; Magnoliopsida; Ericales; Theaceae
Source: RefSeq, a predicted model, not a curated record
AAUAAAUAUUUUAUUCAUUAACUCAAUAGAAAUAACAUUUAGGCAUUUUAAAAGUCUCAAACCUUGUUUUUUUUUUUAAAAAAAAAUUCCUAGUUAUUUUAAAAAUUUAUUUCUUACUUUCCAAACGGAUCCUAAGACUUCCAUUUCGGUACCCGCCUCGCUCCGGCCCUGAUUUUUUUUGGGUUCGAACCGAGUUCCUCCUAGUCAGCUUAUACCGAAAAAACGAAGAACAGUCCAAUUUUAAUUACAGUGGUGCACCAAAGUUGGUUGAGUUGAGAGCUCUUCUCCUCCAUUGUCUCGCCAAUCUAUGGAGCAGAACCAGAGAGCUUCGAGGGCUUUCCAGUUCCACCCUGCUAGACCUGCCAUUCUCGAUCUGUUCAACCUCUACUUAGGAAGAAGUGCUCGCCAAAAAGCCGAAGAGUCAAUCCGAGAACCUCCGUAC